UACGUAGGCAGCAAGCGUUGUUCGGAAUUACUGGGCGUAAAGCGCGUGUAGGCGGCAAGGCAAGUCGGAUGUGAAAGCCCACGGCUCAACCGUGGAAGUGCACCCGAAACUGCCUAGCUAGAGUCUCGGAGAGGAAGGUGGAAUGCUUGGUGUAGAGGUGAAAUUCGUAGAUAUCAAGCGGAACACCGGUGGCGAAGGCGGCCUUCUGGACGAUGACUGACGCUGAGACGCGAAAGCGUGGGGAGCAAACAGG
Molecule: ribosomal RNA, 253 nt
Filed under: uncultured bacterium
Lineage: Bacteria
Description: partial 16S ribosomal RNA
Rfam family: Bacterial small subunit ribosomal RNA
Source: RNAcentral